This 80-nucleotide transfer RNA is filed under the name Virus Rctr197k. Its description in RNAcentral is "tRNA-Leu". It matches the Rfam family "tRNA". From Rfam's summary of the family: Transfer RNA (tRNA) molecules are approximately 80 nucleotides in length. Lineage: Duplodnaviria; Heunggongvirae; Uroviricota; Caudoviricetes. The record is from RNAcentral.
GCACGCGUGGCGGAAACGGUAGACGCACCUGCUUUAGGAGCAGACGCUUCGGCGUGCGGGUUCAAGUCCCGCCGCGUGCA